GGGUUGUGAGGUUAAGCGACUAAGCGUACACGGUGGAUGCCCUGGCAGUCAGAGGCGAUGAAGGACGUGCUAAUCUGCGAUAAGCGCCGGUAAGGUGAUAUGAACCGUUAUAACCGGCGAUUUCCGAAUGGGGAAACCCAGUGUGACUCGUCACACUAUCAUUAACUGAAUCCAUAGGUUAAUGAGGCGAACCGGGGGAACUGAAACAUCUAAGUACCCCGAGGAAAAGAAAUCAACCGAGAUUCCCCCAGUAGCGGCGAGCGAACGGGGAGGAGCCCAGAGCCUGAAUCAGCAUGUGUGUUAGUGGAAGCGUCUGGAAAGGCGCGCGAUACAGGGUGACAGCCCCGUACACAAAAGCGCAUGUGUUGUGAGCUCGAUGAGUAGGGCGGGACACGUGGUAUCCUGUCUGAAUAUGGGGGGACCAUCCUCCAAGGCUAAAUACUCCUGACUGACCGAUAGUGAACCAGUACCGUGAGGGAAAGGCGAAAAGAACCCCGGCGAGGGGAGUGAAAAAGAACCUGAAACCGUGUACGUACAAGCAGUGGGAGCCCCACCACUAAGCCAGUGGUGAACUCCACAUACGCAUCCUUUGCUGAAGGUGCGGUUAACGGAGCGCAAGCGACGUUCAACCUCAAAAGAAGCAGAGGGGGCUUAGUGGUGGGGUGACUGCGUACCUUUUGUAUAAUGGGUCAGCGACUUAUAUUCUGUAGCAAGGUUAACCGCAUAGGGGAGCCGGAGGGAAACCGAGUCUUAAUUGGGCGUUAAGUUGCAGGGUAUAGACCCG
This 784-nucleotide ribosomal RNA is filed under the name Salmonella enterica subsp. enterica serovar Kentucky. RNAcentral's name for it is "partial 23S ribosomal RNA". It matches the Rfam family "Bacterial large subunit ribosomal RNA", at positions 1 to 717 of the family's 2925-position model. The record is from RNAcentral. Lineage: Bacteria; Pseudomonadati; Pseudomonadota; Gammaproteobacteria; Enterobacterales; Enterobacteriaceae.